UGACUAUACAAAGGUAUUGUAAUAAGAUUUUAAUUGAAUGCUAAAAGAAUGGAAAUUUAAAAAAAAACUUUUUUAAAAAUAAAAAUUGAAUUUUUUUUAAUUUGUGCAAAAACAAUUAUAUUUAUUAAAGACAAGAAGACCCUAAGAAUUUAAGAUUUUACAAUUAAAAAGUUUUUUUUUUAAAAUCUUGAUUGGGGCGAUCAAAAAAUAUUAAUAACUUUUUAAAAUUUAAAUUGAUCUAUUAUUAAUAAACUAAUGAAUUAAAUACUCUAGGGAUAACAGCGUAAUAAUUUUUGAUAGAUCUUAUUGACAAAAUAGUUUGCGACCUCGAUGUUGGAUUAGGAUUCUUUUUUAAUGAAGAAGUUAAAAAAAGAAGUUUGUUCAACUUUUAAAUUCCUACUUGAUCUGA
This 409-nucleotide ribosomal RNA is filed under the name Hyalomma rufipes. Its description in RNAcentral is "partial 16S ribosomal RNA". Lineage: Eukaryota; Metazoa; Arthropoda; Arachnida; Ixodida; Ixodidae. The record is from RNAcentral.